This 87-nucleotide unclassified non-coding RNA is filed under the name Pseudomonas synxantha. The record is from RNAcentral. Lineage: Bacteria; Pseudomonadati; Pseudomonadota; Gammaproteobacteria; Pseudomonadales; Pseudomonadaceae.
GUGGGAGGGGGCUUGCUCCCGAUAGCGGUCUAUCAGGAUAAGUUUUAUAGCCUGGCACACUGCUAUCGGGAGCAAGCCCCCUCCCAC